GAUAAACGCUGGCGGCGCACAUAAGACAUGCAAGUCGAACGAACUUAAUUCGAAUGUUUACAUUUGGAAGCGGUUAGUGGCGGACUGGUGAGUAACACGUAAGCAACCUGCCUAUUAGAGGGGAAUAACAGUGAGAAAUCAUUGCUAAUACCGCAUAUGCCAUAAGUACCACAUGGUACUAGUGGGAAAGGAGAAAUCCGCUAAUAGAUGGGCUUGCGUCUGAUUAGAUAGUUGGUGGGGUAAUGGCCUACCAAGUCAACGAUCAGUAGCCGAACUGAGAGGUUGAACGGCCACAUUGGGACUGAGAUACGGCCCAG
Molecule: ribosomal RNA, 317 nt
Filed under: uncultured bacterium
Lineage: Bacteria
Description: bacterial SSU rRNA
Rfam family: Bacterial small subunit ribosomal RNA
Source: RNAcentral